AACGAACGCUGGCGGCAGGCUUAACACAUGCAAGUCGAACGCAUCGCAAGAUGAGUGGCAGACGGGUGAGUAACGCGUGGGAAUCUACCCAUCUCUGCGGAAUAGCUCUGGGAAACUGGAAUUAAUACCGCAUACGCCCUACGGGGGAAAGAUUUAUCGGGGAUGGAUGAGCCCGCGUUGGAUUAGCUAGUUGGUGGGGUAAAGGCCUACCAAGGCGACGAUCCAUAGCUGGUCUGAGAGGAUGAUCAGCCACAUUGGGACUGAGACACGGCCCAAACUCCUACGGGAGGCAGCAGUGGGGAAUAUUGGACAAUGGGCGCAAGCCUGAUCCAGCCAUGCCGCGUGAGUGAUGAAGGCCUUAGGGUUGUAAAGCUCUUUCACCGAUGAAGAUAAUGACGGUAGUCGGAGAAGAAGCCCCGGCUAACUUCGUGCCAGCAGCCGCCGCCG
RNAcentral lists this ribosomal RNA (447 nucleotides) under uncultured bacterium. RNAcentral's name for it is "partial 16S ribosomal RNA". It matches the Rfam family "Bacterial small subunit ribosomal RNA", at positions 29 to 523 of the family's 1533-position model. The record is from RNAcentral.